GACGAACGCUGGCGGCGUGCUUAACACAUGCAAGUCGAACGAUGAAGCCCUUCGGGGUGGAUUAGUGGCGAACGGGUGAGUAACACGUGGGCAAUCUGCCCUUCACUCUGGGACAAGCCCUGGAAACGGGGUCUAAUACCGGAUACCACCUUCCGAGGCAUCUUGGGGGGUUGAAAGCUCCGGCGGUGAAGGAUGAGCCCGCGGCCUAUCAGCUUGUUGGUGGGGUGAUGGCCUACCAAGGCGACGACGGGUAGCCGGCCUGAGAGGGCGACCGGCCACACUGGGACUGAGACACGGCCCAGACUCCUACGGGAGGCAGCAGUGGGGAAUAUUGCACAAUGGGCGAAAGCCUGAUGCAGCGACGCCGCGUGAGGGAUGACGGCCUUCGGGUUGUAAACCUCUUUCAGCAGGGAAGAAGCGCAAGUGACGGUACCUGCAGAAGAAGCGCCGGCUAACUACGUGC
This 463-nucleotide ribosomal RNA is filed under the name uncultured bacterium. RNAcentral's name for it is "bacterial SSU rRNA". It matches the Rfam family "Bacterial small subunit ribosomal RNA", at positions 28 to 508 of the family's 1533-position model. The record is from RNAcentral.